This 377-nucleotide ribosomal RNA is filed under the name uncultured bacterium. RNAcentral describes it as "bacterial SSU rRNA". It matches the Rfam family "Bacterial small subunit ribosomal RNA", at positions 523 to 898 of the family's 1533-position model. The record is from RNAcentral.
GUACGGAGGGUGCGAGCGUUAAUCGGAAUCACUGGGCGUAAAGCGAGCGCAGACGGUUUAUUAAGUCUGAUGUGAAAGCCCGGAGCUCAACUCCGGAAUGGCAUUGGAAACUGGUUAACUUGAGUGCAGUAGAGGUAAGUGGAACUCCAUGUGUAGCGGUGGAAUGCGUAGAUAUAUGGAAGAACACCAGUGGCGAAGGCGGCUUACUGGACUGCAACUGACGUUGAGGCUCGAAAGUGUGGGUAGCAAACAGGAUUAGAUACCCUGGUAGUCCACACCGUAAACGAUGAACACUAGGUGUUAGGAGGUUUCCGCCUCUUAGUGCCGAAGCUAACGCACUAAGUGUUCCGCCUGGGGAGUACGACCGCAAGGUUGAA